CAGUCGUGAGGAAGGUAGUGUAGUUAAUAGCUGCAUUAUUUGACGUUAGCGACAGAAGAAAGCACCGGCUAACUCCGUGCCAGCAGCCGCGGUAAUACGGAGGGUGCGAGCGUUAAUCGGAAUUACUGGGCGUAAAGACGCAUGCAGGUGGUUUGUUAAGUCAGAUGUGAAAGACCCGGGGCGUCAACCUACGGAAGUAAGCAUUUAGUAAACUAGGCAGACUAGAGUACUGUAGAGGGGGGUAGGAAUUUCAGGUGUAGCGGUGAAAUGCGUAGAGAUCUGAAGGAAUACCGGUGGCGAAGGCGGCCCCCUCGGACAGAUACUGACACUCAGAUGCGAAAGCGUGGGGAGCAAACAGGAUUAGAUACCCUGGUAG
Molecule: ribosomal RNA, 376 nt
Filed under: uncultured bacterium
Lineage: Bacteria
Description: bacterial SSU rRNA
Rfam family: Bacterial small subunit ribosomal RNA
Source: RNAcentral